Molecule: ribosomal RNA, 400 nt
Filed under: phytoplankton environmental sample
Lineage: Eukaryota
Description: partial small subunit ribosomal RNA
Rfam family: Eukaryotic small subunit ribosomal RNA
Source: RNAcentral
AGCUCCAAUAGCGUAUAUUAAUGUUGUUGCAGUUAAAAAGCUCGUAGUUGGAUAUCUGGCAUUGCGUUGACGGCCCGCCCUGAACGGGGUUGAGUGCUGGAUUCGCUUGCCUAUUUUCCGGUUGGCGUCGGUUCCCUUUACUGGGCGCCGUUCGCGAUCCGGAUCGUUUACUUUGAAGAAAUUCGAGUGUUCAAAGCAGGCUUACGCCGUGAAGAUUGCAGCAUGGAAUGAUGACAUAGAACUGUUGUGUUCUAUUUUGUUGGUUCUGGGACCACAGUGAUGAUUGAUAGGGACAGUUGGGGGUGCUGCUAUUCCGCGGCCAGAGGUGAAAUUCUCAGAUUCCCGGAAGAGCAACUUAUGCGAAAGCAUUCACCAAAGAUGUCUUCUUUAAUCAAGAACG